GCGGUCAUAGUAUAGUGGUAGAACAUCAGCCCUCCAAGCUGAGAACGCGGGUUCGAAUCCCGCUGACCGCA
RNAcentral lists this transfer RNA (71 nucleotides) under Candidatus Parvarchaeum acidiphilum ARMAN-4. It matches the Rfam family "tRNA". Rfam says of the family: Transfer RNA (tRNA) molecules are approximately 80 nucleotides in length. Their secondary structure includes four short double-helical elements and three loops (D, anti-codon, and T loops). Lineage: Archaea; Nanobdellati; Candidatus Parvarchaeota. The record is from Rfam by way of RNAcentral. RNAcentral also lists the same sequence under 3 other names.